GCUUAACACAUGCAAGUCGAAAGCCGCUUGUCGGCUUGGCGCACGGGUGAGUAACACGUUGGUAACUUACCUCUCGCUCAGGCAUAAUCCCGCGAAAGCGGGACUAAUUCCUGAUAGUAUUUCAAGGUGUAAUCCCUUGUAAUUAAAGAUUUUUCGGCGAGAGAUAGGCCUGCGUCCUAUCAGCUUGUUGGUAAGGUAAUGGCUUACCAAGGCUAUGACGGGUAGCUGGUUUGAGAGGAUGACCAGCCACAAUGGGACUGGAACACGGCCCAUACUCCUACGGGAGGCAGCAGUGAGGAAUCUUGCGCAAUGGGCGAAAGCCUGACGCAGCCAUCCCCCAUGAACGAUGAAGCUCUUCGGAGUGUAAAGUUCAAUAGAUAGGGAAGAAAUCUCGACGGUACCUAUCGAUAGUCACGGCUAACUACGUGCCAGCAGCCGCGGUAAUACGUAGGUGGCGAGCAUUGCUCGGAAUUAUUGGGCGUAGAGCGCGUGUAGGCGUUCUUAUAAGUCUCUUAUUAAAUCUCCUUUCUCAAAAAGGAACCUGUAAGAGAUACUGUAAGAAUUGAGGAAGUUAGAGGCGACUGGAACUUGCGGUGUAGGAGUGAAAUCCAUUGAUAUCGCAAGGAACACCGAUGGCGAAGGCAGGUCGCUGGAGCUUUCCUGACGCUGAGACGCGAAAGCGUGGGGAGCGAACGGGAUUAGAUACCCCGGUAGUCCACGCCGUAAACGAUGCAGACUAGUCAUUGAAGAGAAUCGACCCUCUCAGUGGCGAAGCUAACGCGUUAAGUCUGCCGCCUGGGUAGUACGGCCGCAAGGCUAAAACUCAAAGGAAUUGACGGGGACCCGCACAAGUGGUGGAGCAUGUGGUUUAAUUCGUCAAUAAGCGAGGAACCUUACCGAGGCUUGACAUCCCUGGAAUCCCCUAGAAAUAGGGGAGUGUCUUCGGAAACCAGGUGACAGGUGCUGCACGGCUGUCGUCAGCUCGUAUCGUGAGAUGUACCGUUAAGUCGGGUAACGAGCGCAACCCCUGUGCUGUGUUAUAUUCUCACAGCAGACUGCCCCGGUUAACGGGGAGGAAGGUGGGGACGACGUCAAGUCAGCGUGGCUCUUACGCCUCGGGCGACACACGUGCUACAAUGGCUGCUAUAAAGGGUGGCUAAGCCGAAAGGUGGAGCUAAUCCCAUCAAAAGCAGUCCUAGUUCGGAUUGAAGGCUGCAACUCGCCUUCAUGAAGCUGGAAUCACUAGUAACCGUGGAUCAGCCAUGCUACGGUGAAUACGUUCUCGGGUCUUGUACACACCGCCCGUCAUACCACGAAAGCUGGUAGUGCCUGAAGCCCCGACGUUUUGUCGGGAUCACGGUAAGACCAGUGAU
Molecule: ribosomal RNA, 1373 nt
Filed under: uncultured bacterium
Lineage: Bacteria
Description: 16S ribosomal RNA
Rfam family: Bacterial small subunit ribosomal RNA
Source: RNAcentral